CAAUAGCGUAUAUUAAAGUUGUUGCGGUUAAAAAGCUCGUAGUUGGAUUUCUGUUGAGGACGACCGGUCCGCCCUCUGGGUGAGUAUCUGGCUCGGCCUUGGCAUCUUCUUGGAGAACGUAACUGCACUUGGCUGUGUGGUGCGGUAUCCAGGACUUUUACUUUGAGGAAAUUAAAGUGUUUCAAGCAGGCGUACGCCUUGAAUACAUUAGCAUGGAAUAAUGAGAUAGGACCUUGGUUCUAUUUUGUUGGUUCUAGAGCUGAGGUGGUGAUUAAUAGGGAUAGCUGGGGCAUUCGUAUUCAAUUGUCAGAAGUGAAAUUCUUGGAUUUAUUAAAGACGGACUACUGCGAAAGCAUGUGCCACGGAUGUUUUCAUUGAUCAAGAACGAAAGCUAGGGGAUCGAAGACGAUUAGAUACCA
RNAcentral lists this ribosomal RNA (419 nucleotides) under uncultured eukaryote. RNAcentral's name for it is "SSU rRNA". It matches the Rfam family "Eukaryotic small subunit ribosomal RNA", at positions 592 to 1017 of the family's 1831-position model. The record is from RNAcentral.